GCCCUGGUCCUUGAACUCGUAAGCGCCAGCCGGCUUGAAGAGACCAGCUGCACCCGCUGCAACAGCAGUGGUACCGCCCGUGUUGCUCUGGUCGAGCGUCGAGUACAGCACUUCGCCGGAGAGCGUCAGGUUACGAACCGGAGUCCAUGCCGUACGCGAACCGAUCUGCCAGAUGUUGAAGUCCGGGUUGCAGGUGCUGCCUACACCGUAGAACGCCGCGGUGUUGGUGCAGAUGAUGCCGGUCGCUGUUCCGUUGUAAUCGACAUUGGUGUAGCUGCCGAA
RNAcentral lists this unclassified non-coding RNA (282 nucleotides) under Hevea brasiliensis (rubber tree). The record is from RNAcentral. Lineage: Eukaryota; Viridiplantae; Streptophyta; Magnoliopsida; Malpighiales; Euphorbiaceae.